UCUUAUGCUUGUAUCAAAGGUUAAGCCAUGCAUGUCUAAGUACAAACAAGUU
Molecule: ribosomal RNA, 52 nt
Filed under: uncultured Dinobryon
Lineage: Eukaryota; Chrysophyceae; Chromulinales
Description: partial Eukaryotic small subunit ribosomal RNA
Source: RNAcentral